Molecule: ribosomal RNA, 253 nt
Filed under: uncultured bacterium
Lineage: Bacteria
Description: partial 16S ribosomal RNA
Rfam family: Bacterial small subunit ribosomal RNA
Source: RNAcentral
UACGUAGGGUGCGAGCGUUAAUCGGAAUUACUGGGCGUAAAGCGUGCGCAGGCGGUGAUGUAAGACAGAUGUGAAAUCCCCGGGCUCAACCUGGGAACUGCAUUUGUGACUGCAUCGCUGGAGUGCGGCAGAGGGGGAUGGAAUUCCGCGUGUAGCAGUGAAAUGCGUAGAUAUCGGAAGGAACACCAGUGGCGAAAGCGGCUUCCUGGUCCAGCACCGACGUUCAGGCACGAAAGCGUGGGGAGCAAACAGG